RNAcentral lists this long non-coding RNA (203 nucleotides) under Salvia miltiorrhiza (redroot sage). Its description in RNAcentral is "long non-coding RNA (SMIL_LNC012161)". The record is from RNAcentral. Lineage: Eukaryota; Viridiplantae; Streptophyta; Magnoliopsida; Lamiales; Lamiaceae.
GAAGCAGGAGAUGGCGGAGGCGACGGGCCGAGGCGGCGGCGCUUCGGAUUUCAAGCCCCAAGCCGCCUGGAACCCUAGAUCUACCACGCCUGGAUGUCUGGAACCCUAGAUCUGCAACAUCCACCCAAGGCGGCAACAAUCGCAACAAUCCCUGAGCUCCGUUUCUCUGUGAUUUCUCUGUGGUGGUGGCUCGCUGUGCGGCG